RNAcentral lists this ribosomal RNA (31 nucleotides) under Zaptyx kanaganensis. RNAcentral describes it as "Hemiphaedusa kanaganensis partial 5.8S rRNA". The record is from RNAcentral. Lineage: Eukaryota; Metazoa; Mollusca; Gastropoda; Stylommatophora; Clausiliidae.
GAAAGAGCAGAAAAAAAAGGAAUAGAACAAC